CAGACACUUAUCUGAAGUGUUUCCAGGUCACACCGAGUCCUUGCGCUUUUAUCUCGACCCAUAGUAGAGUUAAAGGUGGCCAACAACCAACGAGUUGUUGGAACAACAAAAAACAAGAGAGAUGGAUUGAUUUAUAACUAACAAGGGCAACAAUCAAGGGGGUUGCCAACUCUGAUAAAGUUUAAAAAUACUCUUAACAUAAAAUUAUAUUGAGGAAAAACAAGUAUUGGGAACAUACAGUACAAUCAUCACAAAUAUUGGCAAUUCGAGUAUGCAGUGAAUUAAAGGAAACGAGGCUCAGAUCUGUUGCUCAAUCGUUCAAAUUGGCAAAGAAACAUUCCACCCCGUCAUGGUUGCAGAAUCACCGGUUGCAUGCGAUUGGGGAAAUAUAAAUUACCCCAAAAUCGCAGCCAUCCGGGUUCGCCACAUCAAGAUACGGGAGGGUUUCUAAAUGCCCAAAUUAUAAGCUCCACAAAUUAUCAACAAUCAUCACAGCAGCUCCAUCAGAAUAUAUAGACACACACAACCACGCACAUGGGCACACACAUAGAAAGAGAUGGGCACACACAGAAAGAGAGCUUAUCAGAAAAAAUCAUGCUAAUGUCACCUGAACAGCUCCACUAGAAUAUAUAGACACACACAUUCACGCACAUGGGAACACACACAGAAAGAGAGCUUAUCAUAGAAAAAAAAAAUCCAGCUAACGUCACCUGAAAAACUAAUGCCCGAACAUAACUUUUUUGCUCUCCAGCUAAUGUCACACGAAGAUGCCCAAAAAGACAUUGUUUUCCAAGAACAUGCAUUGGGUACAUGGGUACACGGUCAAUCUUGUGCAGUGACUUCCUUGUACUUCUCCAAUUUUUCCUUUGAACAGCAUAUUCAUUACAAAACUGUCAUGACAAAAUAGUAUUGUCAGCACCUCAUCUUUCAGAAAAUAAUUUAAGAGUAAAAUUAAAAAAAUACAAAGAGUAAGGGUAGUACCAUUCAAGAAUCAUCGAGUAAUUAUAAAACCUGAUAUAAAUCCCUCCGGCGAACUCGAAGCAUCAAAUCCCUAGAUCCCUUUAAUUCUUGAUAUGGAAUUGUCUCAAUGGUCUUGAUGAUAGUGUCAUCUACUUAAAACAUUAAAGAAAAACCUCUCAGUAGUGCGGUAAACAGAGAUUAAAGACACAUAUAAGAGAGAUCACAGACCUUCCAGCAUUGUGAAUGAUCCUGCAUGUGAGAUUCUACCUGAAGACAAUUGUUCGCACUCACCAAGGCAUCUACAAUAUUAUAUUGGUAAAAUAUUUAUACACACUUCCACAAGAUUGUAAAUGCCAGUGUUAUAAGAUGAAAAAACGAAAUAAUAGGGGCAAACAGGGAUACAAUUGUACUUUUUGUUUUUUCCUCUCCAGUGUCGCAUGUCUAGUGCUUUGAUCCCAUAAGUCUGCAACUGAAAAUUCUAAAAAGCCUAAGGAAUUACUCCAACCUGCAAAAGCAUUUUAAAUUUAGCAUUUGAAUGUGCAACUACAUAACCAUCGAAAUUUUUAAAUUUACAAUUAGAUUUUCACGAGAUAGUAAGUGUGCAUGUUAUAAGAUGAAAAAAAUAAAGUAAUAGGGUCAAACUGGAAGAGCGUUAUUUUUUUGGCCUUCUCCUUCCCAGUUUCGCAUGUACUUGUGUUUUAAUCCCAUAAGUCUUCGACUGAAAAUCCUUAUAAGCCUCUGACGUUUCUCCAGCCUGCAAACGUAUUUAAGGUUUAGCAUUUAUACGUGCAACAACAUAGACACAAGAAUUUAAAAAUUUACAGACAAUUGAUUCAAUAGACAGAUUCAGCCUUUUGGAGUAUAAACUUGCACAAUCGAGUCUUGGGAAGAUGUCGGAAGCAAGUGAAUGACGUGGUCAUCAGAAAUAGACAACUUGUGCUAACUAUGAACAUCCUGAAAGUUUAGUCAAAAGUUGCGGAUGUAAAAGUAUAUUUGGGAAACGAAAACUCAGACAACGGCUCCUACCUUGAAAAACUUGAUGCUGCAAGAAAUGAGAAAAGUUAAUUUAGAAACUCAGCAUUGAUUGUAGAUUUUGAAAAAUAUCAUAUGAUAAUGAGAAGGAAUAAAGGAGACAGAACUACAGCAAACUUUCUUGAGACGUAAUUAACCCUUGAUGCUAAUGGAUGUUCUGAUUCUAACUUAGAGGCAGUAAACGAGGUUUGCUGCCGAAGAAUUUUGUUCUCAGAUUCCAUGUCGAAUUUUUUUCUUCUACACUGCUUGCUUCAAACUCCCCUGGCUAAGUGUAAUUUCGUUUCCAGAGAGCUCACUAAGGUCUGCAAUGACGCAUAAAAGGAUGCAACAAUAAACAAGUACAUAAUGAAAAUUAUUUUUCCACGCAAUUAACAGUUUUAACGUUUUAACGGAUUUUUGCUCACCUGCAUUAAGUGAUUUUUGCUCAGCUGUUAUUUUUGCAAUUCUAUUUCCUUCAACGUCGUGCCUUUGUUUUCCCUGACCUGAAGCUGAAGCUCCUCUUCCAAAUAAAUAAAUAGACAAUUCAUGAAUAAUUAACAAUAUAAUAGAAAAUUUAGUCGCAUAGAAAACCAAAGAGAAGAGAGUGAUCAUACAAACAAGAAAGAUAAGAAGAGUUUUUCACAAGAAAGUCAAUAAUUAAUCACAUCUAUACAGAUUUCCACAACACAGGAUCAUACUGGAAGACCAUUGUUUUUAAUGCUUUUACCUCUUCAGUGUCGCAUGAACUUGUCCCAUAAGUCUUCAACUGAAAAUUCACAAAAGCCUCGGAAAUUAAUCCAACCUGCAAAAGCAUAUACAUGUUUAGCAUUUAUAUGCUCAACCACAUAACCUUUGGAAUAUAAAGAUCUACCAAACAAUUGACUAAAGAGAUAAAAAAUCAACGUUUCUCGCGUAAACUCAAACAAUGACGUCUUAGUAAGAUGUUGGAAGCAAGUGGAUGAUGCGAUCAUCAGAAACAAAGAAGAACUUCUGCUCUCUGCAAAAAUCCUUGAAGAAUCUAACAAGGCUGCCAGACACUUAUCUGAAGUGUUUCCAGAUCACACCGAGUCCUUGCGCUUUUUUAUCUCAACCCAUAGUAGUAGAGGUAUAGGUGGCCAACAACCAACGAGUUCCUGGAACAACAAAAAACAAGAGAGAUGGAUUGAUUUGUAAAAAGAACUUGUGAUUUAUAAAUAACAAUGGCAAGAAUCAAGAGGGUUGCCAACUCUGAUAAAGUUUAAAAAUACUCUUAAAAUAUAAAGGAAAAACAAGUAUUGGGAACAUACAGUACAAUCAUCACAAGUAUUGGGAAUUCGAGUAUGCAGUGAAUUAAAGGAAACGAGGCUCAGAUCUGUUGCUCAAUCGUUCAAGUUGGCAAAGAAACAUUCCACCCCGUCAUGGUUGCAGAAUCACCGGUUGCUUGCGAUUGGGGAAAUAUAAAUUACCCCAAAAUCGCAGCCAUCCGGGUUCGCCACAUCAAGAUACGGGAGGGUUUCUAAAUGCCCAAAUUAUCAGCUCCACAAAUUAUCAACAAUCAUCACAGCAGCUCCAUCAGAAUAUAUAGAAACACACAAUCACGCACAUGGGCACACACAUAGAAAGAGAUGGGCACACACACAGAAAGAGAGCUUAUCAGAAAGAAUCCAGCUAAUGUCACCUGAACAGCUUCACUAGAAUAUAUAGACACACACAUUCACGCACAUGGGCACACACACAGAAAGAGAGCUUAUCAGAAGAAAAAAAUCCAGCUAACGUCACCUGAUAAAC
RNAcentral lists this long non-coding RNA (3738 nucleotides) under Erythranthe guttata (spotted monkey flower). RNAcentral's name for it is "long non-coding RNA (EGUT_LNC000560)". Lineage: Eukaryota; Viridiplantae; Streptophyta; Magnoliopsida; Lamiales; Phrymaceae. The record is from RNAcentral.